This 186-nucleotide non-coding RNA is filed under the name Acidobacteriota bacterium. RNAcentral's name for it is "Acidobacteria bacterium 6S RNA". It matches the Rfam family "6S / SsrS RNA". Rfam says of the family: E. coli 6S RNA was the first non coding RNA to be sequenced, but its function was unknown until recently. Lineage: Bacteria; Pseudomonadati; Acidobacteriota. The record is from RNAcentral.
CAUCCCCUGUGUGGUUUGUGAUGAGUCGAUGAAUAUUAGAACCUACCGUAAAGUCUCGGGAGCCUCACUUCCGCGAGCCUGUGCCAGCCCCGCACGAACGGGGACGCUGACGGCCGCUGAGAGGGCACCCACCUGGUAAAAGCCAGGUUCUAGACUUCCGACUCACACGGCUUGCGCGGGGGGUGC